RNAcentral lists this ribosomal RNA (488 nucleotides) under uncultured Gammaproteobacteria bacterium. RNAcentral describes it as "bacterial SSU rRNA". It matches the Rfam family "Bacterial small subunit ribosomal RNA", at positions 30 to 507 of the family's 1533-position model. Lineage: Bacteria; Pseudomonadati; Pseudomonadota; Gammaproteobacteria. The record is from RNAcentral.
AUUGAACGCUAGCGGCAUGCCUAACACAUGCAAGUCGAACGGCAGCGCGGGGAGCUUGCUCCCUGGCGGCGAGUGGCGGACGGGUGAGUAACGCGUAGGAAUCUACCUUAUAGCGGGGGAUAACCCGGGGAAACUCGGGCUAAUACCGCAUAAUCUCUUCGGAGCAAAGCGGGGGACUUUCGGGCCUCGCACUGUAAGAUGAGCCUGCGUCGGAUUAGUUUGUUGGUGGGGUAACGGCCUACCAAGGCGACGAUCCGUAGCUGGUUUGAGAGGACGACCAGCCACACUGGGACUGAGACACGGCCCAGACUCCUACGGGAGGCAGCAGUGGGGAAUAUUGGACAAUGGGGGCAACCCUGAUCCAGCAAUGCCGCGUGUGUGAAGAAGGCCUUCGGGUUGUAAAGCACUUUCAGUGGGGAAGAAAAGCGCAAGGUUAAUACCCUUGCGUCUUGACGUUACCUGCAGAAGAAGCACUGGCUAACUCUGUG